Molecule: ribosomal RNA, 253 nt
Filed under: uncultured bacterium
Lineage: Bacteria
Description: partial 16S ribosomal RNA
Rfam family: Bacterial small subunit ribosomal RNA
Source: RNAcentral
AACGUAGGUGGCGAGCGUUAUCCGGAAUUACUGGGCGUAAAGCGUGUGCAGGCGGGCUGGCAAGUGGUGUAUGAAAUAUCCCGGCUUAACCGGGAGGGGUUAUGCCAGACUGUCAGUCUUGAGUGCGAGAGAGGAGCGUGGAAUUCCGGGUGUAGUGGUGGAAUGCGUAGAGAUCCGGAGGAACACCAGCGGCGAAGGCGGCGUCCUGGACUGGUACUGACGCUCAGGAGCGAAAGCGUGGGGAGCGAUCCGG